This 111-nucleotide ribosomal RNA is filed under the name uncultured eukaryote. Its description in RNAcentral is "partial small subunit ribosomal RNA". The record is from RNAcentral.
UCGCUACUACUGAUUGGAUGUUUAAGCGAGUCCCCCGGACUGCUGGGAUCGGAUCUUCGGUGAUGAUCCUGAGAGGAAUGUAGGACAAGCUUAUGUGUCUAGAGGAAGUAA